This 2696-nucleotide long non-coding RNA is filed under the name Canis lupus familiaris (dog). RNAcentral describes it as "lncRNA (ENSCAFG00000056340.1)". The record is from RNAcentral. Lineage: Eukaryota; Metazoa; Chordata; Mammalia; Carnivora; Canidae.
UUUUUUUUUUUUUUUUUUUUUUUUUUAAGAUUUAUUUAUUCAUUCAUUCAGAGAGAGUGAAGAGAGGCAGAGACACAGGCGGAGGGAGAAGCAGGCUCCAUGCAGGAAGCCUGAUGUGCAACUUGAUCCUGGGUCUCCAGGAUCACACCCCAGGCUGCAGGCGGCGCUAAACCGCUGCGCCACCGGGGCUGCCCACGUUUUUAUUUCCUAAACCGUUAUGAGAUCACUGGAGAUUCAUAUGCAGUUAUAAGAAAUAAUAUAGAAAUUCUGUGUGCUCUUCACCCAGCUCCCCCCAGUGGUAGCAUCUCGAAUGACUGUAGUACAACGUCUUAGCCAGGACCAUGUUGUGGUCCAGGCCUGACUCACCCACCCACCCACGCGUGCGCACGAGUGUGUGUGUGUGUGUGUGUGUGUGUGUGGUGUAUUUCUGUGUCUGUCACAUGUGUAACUUCAUCACUGGCCUUUUUAAGAUCUUAUUUUUUGAGAGCAUGAACAGGGUAGCGAGGGUGGAUAAAGGGAGAAGCAGGCUCCUUACUGAACAGGGGCUCGAUCUCAGGACCCCGAGAUCAUGACCUGAGUCAAAGGCAGACAACCAACUGAGCCACCCACGUGCCCCAGCUUUUUUUCUUUUUUUUUUUUUUUUUUUUAAUGGGAUAGUAUAGAUCAGUAUACAUCACACUUCUCAAUCGUAAGUAUUGAUUUGGGAAUGUGUUUUAGUUUUGUACAUACAUCUUGAUUGGAUUAUGAAAUGCCUUUUUGCUGUGAGUCAAGUCUGAAAGCCACAGGUCAUUGAGUCACCUGGACUCCACUGAAAUGGGCUUUUAGCUCAGGACUUAGUAGCUAAGUGCCCAUCCCAACAAACGUGUGUACUGGGAAGUGCUGGUGCUGACGGGGCGGCCCCUUGUCACCUGCUUCUGGUGGCUGGCAAACCUGGAAAAGGAAGUGCUGGCUGCUGCAGCAGCCGCCUCCUGGGAAGCCAGUAUUUGGUAGUUGCCAUUGCAGUUCCCUAGUGGUGUGAAGACCCUCAUCCUAAGAGCUCCUGAGGCCAAAGACCCAAGCCUACGUCUGCUCUGGGGGCUGUUUUGAGUUCAAGCAAUGCUCCCCUUCUGGGGAUUGCUAAAAGCAGUGCAGUGUGGCUCUGAGGGGGCCGUGGAGAAUCUGGUUAAGCACCAACAGGGAGAACCGGGGUUUCUUCGGCCCAUAGACCUGACUCCAGGCUUCCUGAAGCCAAGUUCCUGGCCAGGAUUGUGCCGAGUCCCCCAGAGGCUCCCAAGGGCUUGUCUGCUCUUGCCUAUGGAGACUGAAGAGUUUUGACAGCGGCUCCUGGAGGCCAGCCAGGGUCCAGAAAGCCUUGAGCCUCCUUGCCUCCAUUCAUCCCAUUCCCUGUACCCGUACCCCAGCCCCUGCAUACCACACCCACCCAGUCCUGGGCCCCCAAGGUCAGCAAAGAGCUUCAAAUAUCCCAGAGAAUGGAGUGAGCAGUGAACGAAGGCCAGGAGGAUGCUCUGGCAGGGUUGAACCCCCCCAUAGAGGCUCUGCCUGAGGAGAGGAGAAUGGGGGCCACGGAGGGUGCUCUCCAGCCUGCAGCUGACAUGGAGCGUCUGGAAACUGCCGGUGCCAGAGCCCUCCUGUGGGCAAGAGGAGAAGGCCAGGGAUGAGUCCGUGCCAGAGGUUGAUGGGGGAGCCGAGAAGGCCUGGAUGGUCCAGUGAGGAAGAGACCGGACCCAGGCUUCCCGGCCCCUUCAUACGUCAUCCCACACACAGUGUUUAGACAAAGCAGCGAAGAAGAAACACAGACAUCCUGGAUCCCGUAGGGAGGAGGCCAGGGCUGGGAACAGAAGGAGGUCUGUUUAUUCCUGGCAGUCGAGCAUCUGAGGGGCCCCACACCCACUUCUGUCCGGGCCCCAGGCUGAACUCUCCCAGAGCCUCUGACUUCUACCGCCAGAUAGCGUGGGUCGGAGGGCCGGCUGCCCGCUUGAGGAUGGGCUUGGGGCUGGAUGCUUUCCUCCUCUCCCCUCCUGUCCCAACAGAAGUCCUGCCUCCCCAGGCCCCUUGGCCACUGUGCAGGAUGGGUGGAGCUAGACCCCUAGGACCCCCACCCCCCACCUGGGUCUCCCACCCCCCUGCCAAGGGCACGAAAGUCCCCUGGCUCUGUCUGCCUGUGCUCCUGAGCAGGAAGUCUUUCCUUGUGUCUCAUCUCCAGCUUUCUUGCUGAAGUUCCAACCAGCUCCUCCCACUUGAGCCAGCUUCUUUCCAGCACCCCAAGGCCUCGCGUGAUACAAGCGAAAAUUAGAGCAUCACACCUCCUGGCUGCCUUACCUGAACUUACUUGCCCUUCCUCUCCUGUACCUACUUUCCUCAGCAUCCCCAUGGAGCAGAAGUGCCCAUUCUCCUCUUGCUUUUCCAUGAGCUCUCUAUCUGCCUUUCCCUACAGAGUUCUCUCUCUCGGACUGGACUGGUGGCUGGAGGGAAGUGACAUGCAGAGAAGGGCAGGAAUCCUAAAAAUGGUAAUGACGGCUGCCUUUCAUGGAGUGCCUGUGUGCCUAGUGCUCAUCCAAGUCCUCAUCACGCAUUAAUUCCGUUAGUCUCACCAUAGGUGAGUGCAACAUAAGCCCCAUCCUACAGAUGAAGACACAAAGGCAAGAGAACUUCAGUAAUUUGCCCAAGUUCACACAGCUUAAAAAAAAAAAAAAAAA